Molecule: non-coding RNA, 72 nt
Organism: Phrynosoma platyrhinos (Desert horned lizard)
Lineage: Eukaryota; Metazoa; Chordata; Lepidosauria; Squamata; Phrynosomatidae
Source: the annotation of a GenBank genome assembly
GCCAGUGUGGUCCAGUGGGUUGAGACUUGGACUAUGAAUCUGGAGACCAGGGUUCAAAUCCCAGCUUGGCCA